Molecule: ribosomal RNA, 368 nt
Filed under: uncultured bacterium
Lineage: Bacteria
Description: bacterial SSU rRNA
Rfam family: Bacterial small subunit ribosomal RNA
Source: RNAcentral
GAUGAACGCUAGCGGCAGGCUUAACACAUGCAAGUCGAGGGGCAGCACAGGUAGCAAUACCGGGUGGCGACCGGCAAACGGGUGCGGAACACGUACAGAACCUACCUUGAUCUGGGGCAUAGCCCGAAGAAAUUCGGAUUAACUCCCCAUAACAUAGACGAGUGGCAUCACUUAACUAUUAAAAUUUAUUGGAUCGAGAUGGCUGUGCGUCCCAUUAGCUAGUUGGUAGGGAACGGCCUACCAAGGCGACGAUGGGUAGCUGGUGUGAGAGCACGACCAGCCACACGGGCACUGAGACACGGGCCCGACUCCUACGGGAGGCAGCAGUGAGGAAUAUUGGUCAAUGGACGCAAGUCUGAACCAGCCAU